AUGGCGUCCCAUCUCCGGCCCGCCUCGUCGUGCCCCUCCUUUCGCCUCCCCUCCUCCACAGCCUCUGCACCUCCGCCGAGCCUCCUUUCCAGGCGGCAAAAGGCACCUCCCGCCCCACCCACGCCCCACGCCCCUCCUUCCCGGCCCCGCGUCGCCGCCGCCGCGGCCUACGGAGGCGCCCAGCUGCUGGGUCCCGUCGACACGCAGACAUUCAUCAUCGCCGCCUCCGUCGUUACCGCGGUUUCCUUGUCCCUCGUCCUCGGCCUCAAGGGGGACCCCGUUCCGUGCGACCGGUGUGCUGGAAACGGAGGCACAAAGUGCGUCUUCUGCAAUGACGGCAAGAUGAAGGCGGAUAACGGGGUGGUUGAAUGCAGGGUAUGCAGAGGAGCAGGGCUGAUACUCUGCAAGAAGUGCUCAGGUUCUGGUUACUCUAAGCGCUUGUAG
RNAcentral lists this ribosomal RNA (444 nucleotides) under Triticum aestivum (bread wheat). RNAcentral's name for it is "partial small subunit ribosomal RNA". The record is from RNAcentral. Lineage: Eukaryota; Viridiplantae; Streptophyta; Magnoliopsida; Poales; Poaceae.